This 156-nucleotide ribosomal RNA is filed under the name Triticum aestivum (bread wheat). Its description in RNAcentral is "partial small subunit ribosomal RNA". Lineage: Eukaryota; Viridiplantae; Streptophyta; Magnoliopsida; Poales; Poaceae. The record is from RNAcentral.
AUGACCCGGCCCUCCAACGGCGGGUUCGACUACCAGCUGGUGAUCACCGUGUCGGAUGGCCCGGCGCCCAGGAACAACCGCCCGUACAACGCGUCGGUCUGGGGCAUACUCGGCACCAUGAGCUGGAAGCUCUGGUCCUUCACCCUUAUGGUGUGA